AAAGGAAUAGACGGGGGCCCGCACAAGCGGAGGAACAUGUGGUUUAAUUCGAUGAUACGCGAGGAACCUUACCCGGGCUCGAACGGCUCUAGAAUAUAUCAGAGAUGGUAUAGCCAGCGAUGGCUGGAGUCGAGGUGCUGCAUGGUUGUCGUCAGCUCGUGCCGUGAGGUGUAGGCUUAAGUGCCAUAACGAGCGCAACCCUUGUUGUUAGUUGCCAUCAGGUAAAGCUGGGGACUCUAGCGAGACUGCCACCGUAAGGUGCGAGGAAGGGGGGGAUGACGUCAAAUCAGCACGGCCCUUACGUCCGGGGCGACACACGUGUUACAAUGGUGGAUACAGAGGGGCGCUACCCAGUGAUGGGAUGCGAAUCUCUAAAGUCCAUCUCAGUUCGGAUUGGAGUCUGCAACUCGACUCCAUGAAGUUGGAUUCGCUAGUAAUCGCGCAUCAGCCAUGGCGCGGUGAAUACGUUCCCGGGCCUUGUACACACCGCCCGU
RNAcentral lists this ribosomal RNA (494 nucleotides) under uncultured bacterium. RNAcentral describes it as "bacterial SSU rRNA". It matches the Rfam family "Bacterial small subunit ribosomal RNA", at positions 903 to 1397 of the family's 1533-position model. The record is from RNAcentral.